Long non-coding RNA from Gasterosteus aculeatus aculeatus (three-spined stickleback), 576 nucleotides. The record is from Ensembl. NCBI's taxonomy places the organism in Eukaryota, Metazoa, Chordata, Actinopteri, Perciformes, Gasterosteidae.
GAGAUGCCAAGAAGAGGGCAUCUAUUUAUGAAUUUAAAAAAAUGAAACGUCUUGAUGUUCUCUUCGUGCAAGAGACGCACAGCGACAGCACCAACGAGGCCGACUGGAGGAGGGAGUGGGAAGGGGAAGUCCUGCUGAGCCACAACACCAACCUCAGUGGAGGAGUGGGCUUCCUCUUCUCCAGGUCUUUUAAGCCAAUCUCCCUGGAGGUCAAACACAUCAUCGAGGGGAGGUUGUUUUUAGUCAAGAUGGCUGUGCCCCGGAGGAUUUUUUAUUCUUGGGGGGGGAUUUUAACUGCACAGAAGAUGCGGCCAUAGACCGCAACCACGCAGAGCCACAUCCAGCUUCCCAGCACGCUCUGAGGCAGCUGGUCCGGUCUCAUGGCCUGGUGGAUGUGUGGAGAAGGAUGCAUGCAGACUGCCGACAGUACACGUGGUCCCACCUCAGAGAAGGUAGAAUCUCCUCAGCCAGGCUUGAUCGGUUUUAUGUUUUUAAGCACCAUUUUAAUAUUUUCAAAAUGUGUACCAUUGUACCGGCUGUUUUUUCAGAUCAUUCCCUGCUAGUGUGUAAUGUUUU